RNAcentral lists this ribosomal RNA (433 nucleotides) under uncultured bacterium. RNAcentral's name for it is "partial 16S ribosomal RNA". It matches the Rfam family "Bacterial small subunit ribosomal RNA", at positions 29 to 507 of the family's 1533-position model. The record is from RNAcentral.
AGCGAACGCUGGCGGCAGGCUUAACACAUGCAAGUCGAGCGGGCACUUCGGUGUCAGCGGCAGACGGGUGAGUAACACGUGGGAACGUACCCUUUGGUUCGGAAUAACGCUGGGAAACUAGCGCUAAUACCGGAUACGCCCUUUUGGGGAAAGGCUUGCUGCCGAAGGAUCUGCCCGCGUCUGAUUAGCUAGUUGGUGGGGUAAUGGCCUACCAAGGCGACGAUCAGUAGCUGGUCUGAGAGGAUGAUCAGCCACACUGGGACUGAGACACGGCCCAGACUCCUACGGGAGGCAGCAGUGGGGAAUAUUGGACAAUGGGCGCAAGCCUGAUCCAGCCAUGCCGCGUGAGUGAUGAAGGCCUUAGGGUUGUAAAGCUCUUUUGUCCGGGACGAUAAUGACGGUACCGGAAGAAUAAGCCCCGGCUAACUUCGUG